GCCCGGCUAGCUCAAUUAGGCAGAGCGUGAGGUAAAUGAUCUCAAGGUUGUGGGUUCGACCCCCACGUCGGGCU
This 74-nucleotide transfer RNA is filed under the name Endocarpon pusillum Z07020. Its description in RNAcentral is "tRNA-Ile (AAT) (tRNA-Ile-AAT-2-1)". It matches the Rfam family "tRNA". From Rfam's summary of the family: Transfer RNA (tRNA) molecules are approximately 80 nucleotides in length. Their secondary structure includes four short double-helical elements and three loops (D, anti-codon, and T loops). Lineage: Eukaryota; Fungi; Ascomycota; Eurotiomycetes; Verrucariales; Verrucariaceae. The record is from RNAcentral.